AGUGGGGAAUUUUGGACAAUGGGCGAAAGCCUGAUCCAGCAAUGCCGCGUGAGUGAAGAAGGCCUUCGGGUUGUAAAGCUCUUUUGUCAGGGAAGAAACGGUGAGGGCUAAUAUCCUUCGCUAAUGACGGUACCUGAAGAAUAAGCACCGGCUAACUACGUGCCAGCAGCCGCGGUAAUACGUAGGGUGCAAGCGUUAAUCGGAAUUACUGGGCGUAAAGCGUGCGCAGGCGGUUUUGUAAGUCUGACGUGAAAUCCCCGGGCUCAACCUGGGAAUUGCGUUGGAGACUGCAAGGCUAGAAUCUGGCAGAGGGGGGUAGAAUUCCACGUGUAGCAGUGAAAUGCGUAGAGAUGUGGAGGAACACAGAUGGCGAAGGCAGCCCCCUGGGUCAAGAUUGACGCUCAUGCACGAAAGCGUGGGGAGCAAA
This 427-nucleotide ribosomal RNA is filed under the name Massilia aurea. Its description in RNAcentral is "bacterial SSU rRNA". It matches the Rfam family "Bacterial small subunit ribosomal RNA", at positions 353 to 772 of the family's 1533-position model. The record is from RNAcentral. Lineage: Bacteria; Pseudomonadati; Pseudomonadota; Betaproteobacteria; Burkholderiales; Oxalobacteraceae.